Esox lucius (northern pike) is the source of this 2082-nucleotide long non-coding RNA. Lineage: Eukaryota; Metazoa; Chordata; Actinopteri; Esociformes; Esocidae. The record is from Ensembl.
AAUCCUUUGCAGGCAAUGACUGCUUGAAGUGUGGAAAGCAUGUGUUGGGUUUCCUCUUUUGUGAUGCUUUGCCAGGCCUUUUCUUCAGCUAUUGUUGGUUCGUGGGUCUUUCUGCCUUGUCUUCAGCAAGUGAAAUACAUGCAGAGUUGAGAUUGGGUGACUGACUCAGCCAUUGCAGAAUAUUACAAUUAUUUGCCUUAAAACACUCCUGGGUUGCUUUCGCACUAUGUUUUGGGUCAUUGUCCAUCUGUGAAGUGAAGCGCCGUCCAAUCAACUUCGCUAUCCAUAUACAUACAGCUGCUUCUGUUUUCUGUCACAUCAUCAAUAAACACUAGUGACCCAGGGCCAUUGGAAGCCAUGUAUGCCCAUGCCAUUACGCUGCCUCCAGUGUGUUUUACAGAUCAUGUGGUAUGCUUCGGAUCAUGAGCCGUUCCAAGCCUUCUCUGCACUCUUUUCUUCCCAUCAUUCUGGUACAGGUUGAUCUUAGUUUUAUCUGUCCAGAGAAUACUGUUCCAGAACUGGAUUUUUUAGAUGUUUUUUGGCAAGUCUAAUCUGGCCUUUCUAUUAUUGAGGCUUAUGAAUGGUUUCCACCUUGUGGUGAACCCUCUGUAUUUGCUGUCGUGAAGUCUUCUCUUUAUGGUAGACUCAGAUAAUGAUAUGGCUACAAGAAUGAUGGGAAGGAAAAAGUAUGGAGAAUGCUUGGCUUGGAACGGCUCAUGAUCCGAAGAAUACCACAUCAUCUGGAUCUUGUAAAGGGGUUUUUCUUUACCAUGGAAAGGAUCCUCCAAUCAUCCACCACUGUGGUCUUCUGUGGACGUCCAGGCCUUUUGGUGCUGCAGAGCUCACCUGCGGUUGUUUUUCUCAAAAUGUCCCAAACUGUUUUGGCCACUCCCAAUGUUCCUGUUAUCUCUCUGAAUAAUUAUUUUUGCACGCUCUGGAUGGCCUCUUUCAUUUGCAUUGAGAGCUCGUUUGACCGCAUGUUAUGGGUCUAACGCAACUGCUUCCAAAUGCAAAUGCCACACCUGGAAUCAACUCCAGAACUUUUACUUGCUUAAAUGAUGAAGAAAUAACUAAGGAAUAGCCCACACCUGUCCAUGAAACAGCUUUGGAGUCAUCUGUCCAAUUACUUUUGGUCCCUUGAAAAAAGGGGGGCUACAUAUUAAAGAGUUGUAAUUCCUAAACUAUUCCUCCAAUUUAGAUGUGAACACCGUCAAAUUAAAGCUGAGAGACUGCACUUCAAGGCCAUAUUCAUUAUUUAACUGUAAGUUGAAUAUAUUUUGGUAAACAGCUAAAAGAAAAACACUUGUGCCAGUGUCCAAUUAUAACCCAACUGUAUUGCUCUCAACUUACAUAGCGUAGUUCACAUAGCAUAAUGGUUAGCUAACUGUCAUUGUUUUCCUGUUGUUGGUUUGGAUAUUAGCUAAUGUAGGAAACUAGUUUCAAGAUCUGUCACAUUUCGACUAAUUAGUUUAAUGCAGAAUUAAACGAACACCACACCUGCACACAUGUAUCAUAUGCAACAAAACCCACUGUUUAAAUAGCGUAGUGGUUAAAGACACCGUCUGUCACAUUGAGCAAAGGCAACAACAUUCAUACCCUCGAAUCGCAGGCCGGCUGAACUAGACUUGUCUGGUUGCUUUUCUUGUUUCUUAUAGCAUUUGAUAACGAAUACUAACUCAGAAUUAUCAUCAGAUCGCACAUUCUCGUAAAGCUCUAGUAAUUGUUAAUUCACUAAAUGGCUUUGUAAUCAAUCGAUUAGAGCUGAGAUUUACAGAAACAGAUAUUGCCUCUCUUAAGUAGCAGAAAGCUGUUUGUUCAAACAUCCUAUCUGUUAUGGGAUACUAAAGAUUAAAGUGCUGCCAUUAUUCUAUACAUUUAAAUGCUCUUUACCAUCACACUGUUUAUGUUCAAAUUCUUUAAAUUGUACUAUACAAUGUUGUUACAGGAUUGUAUACUGGUUCCUUUGUGUGAAGCUGUGGGAAAUUAGAGUUAAGAGCAUGAUUAGACGCUGUACAUUCUUGCUCUAACAUGCAGAGCUACAGUAUAAAGUUCAGUCAAUACCUGAGGCAGGUUACUUCUUCC